UCUGAACUAGAAGCCCACAUGGAAAGAAUCUAUAUGUGGAUAUAUGCGCAUAUAUGGCAAUAUAUAUGCUGCAUUUAUGCGUAUAUAUGCCACAUAUAGGUUUCAUAUAUGCUGCAUAUAUGCAAAUGUGAGGUGCAUAUAUGCAUAUACAGGCCUCCUAUUGCUUCACAUAUAUCCACAUAUAAGCCCUAUACAUACAAGAUAUGUCUUCUAUUUAGCUAAUGGCAUGAUCAUUUUGUAGCUCAUCUCAUUUUGGCAACUGUGGAUCCAUACUAAUACUUUUCUUGCGUCUUAUUUCCAUAACGUUAUUUAUACUGGCAAGCUUAGAUCGACCACUACAGCGUUGCGUAGUUGAUGUUAUCCGCAUGCGGCCCAGCACGCUGCGUAGUUGAUGACGUCAUCCGCAUGCGGCCAGCGCGCUGCGUAGUUGAUGACGUCAUCCGCAUGCGUCCAGCGCGCUGUUUUUAAUUUUUGCCGCCGACAGAUAGUGGCUGGGAGUAAAAUGGCGAUAAAAGCAUUGGAGAGCCGCUAUGUCCUACUUGAAUGGACUGAGGGUGAGGAUAGAGGGGUCCAUAGUAUUUUGCCCCUCUACUGUGUCCGGAAUUUUUCACUUAGAGACUUUUUGAAAGGACUGAUAAAACCGAGAAGCUGGAAUGGCGAAAAGGCCGCCAAGAGCACCGAGCCAGAAUUAUUCAGUAAGUUACACGCAAACUUUACCUGACCUUAUGUAGUUAAAUACCACAUUAAAUGGUUUUGCUCGUACUUAAAGAAGUAUAAAAUGAAUCUUGCUAGGUACCUGAAUAUAGCUUAGCUUUCAUGUUAGCCGUAUGCUAAAUUGCUUUAGUCCAAUAAUGUUAGAUUUGGUAAACAUGAUUAGAAAAACGUUUGCAGUUCAUGAUAACAUUUAAAUUUUAUUGCACCAGAACUUGAAAAAAACUCUCCAAAUUAAACUGAUCGAGAUGGGGAAAGAUGGCACACAAUGGCAAAUAAAACGUCCUCACAUCCCAAACAAAGUACAGUGAGCAGCUAGGGGCCGACUAAGAAGGCUUCAAAGAAAAAGGUUGACAAUAAAAAGGGAGGGGCUUCCAAAUACAAGCACCAGGAGGAGGGUCAUGACAGACUUUCAAAGAAUAAGAUGCUACGUUGAAGAAGUGGCCGGCAGCCAGCCGAGGGCAAGCUCACGGAGCUGAGAAGAGCUAAAAGAUAUAUAUUUUUUUUUCUGUUCAGUUUUUUGUCUUAUUUUGGUUCUUGUACUAUUUGAUUGUUCUUGUAAAUACAUAAUGUACAGUACAUUUCUAUAUUUUGGACUUUUAUUUAUGGUGCCUAGCAGGUUUUUUUUUUUUUCUUAUUUUUGUUCUUGUACUAUAUUUUUUGUUUUGUAUUAUUUGAUUGAUCUGAAGUAAAUAUAUAAUGUACAUUUCUACAUUUUGGACUUUUAUUUAUGUUAUCUAGCAGCUAUGGAUUUUAAUUUUACUAUUAUAUAGGUGAACAUAUAGGUGCAUAAUAUACGUGCAUAUAUGUACCUAUAUAGGUAUAUGUAUGCGUGCAUAUAUGUACAUAUAAUAUAGGAAAAUGGCCAAUUUUAUAUACGUCACAUAUAUCAAAAACCUAUAUCAAAACCUAUAUUGAAACAUAUAUGUUUAUAUAGGUUCUUUCCAUGUGGGAGGAGAAACAUGUAACAACCUCAACAAAUCUUACCCCUUUUCAGCGUCUUCGCCUCUUUGCGUUUUUCAGAAAAUAUCUUCACCCAACACUACAAACAAGUGUUUAUUAAUGUCAAAACCUCAAAAUCAAAUAUUUUGCUUAGUUUAUAGAAAGUUAAGCUUACCCCUUUCCACCGUCUUUACGUGCGCAUCACCAGAUGGAUCCAGUUUUUUCCAGAUUUGCAUAUCACAUGGCUCAGUCAUAUACUUAAAAUAUUAUGUUAUAAUUAGUUUUGAUGCACUUUAGUUGACGUGACUUAUGUUUUUUCAUAAUAUUUAGGCAUACACUUAGGUUCUGUUAUGCGAGACACAGAGGAGGAAGCCGGAGUGAAAGCAGUUUAUUUGCCAAAAACACGGAAGUAGUAGUAAUCCGGUGGUGCGCGGUGGAAGCGCGGCCCACAAAGUCCAGAGUUAUGGGAAGAAAGGCAGUCGGUGUAACACCCAGGGGAGCGCUUAGGAGAAGCGCGAAGCUGAACUCAGGAGUGUCGAGGAAUGAACAGCCAAACCAUGGAUAAAAACUGACGGUCAGGUCUGUAGAGGCCUUUGUUUGGCACAGAGAUUUGGAUGGUGAACCAGAUGGCGAGCCACCCAGUUUGAUGAGAAAUCUGUUUCCAGGAGGAGUCAAGGUUUUCCUUGCAGAUCCAAUUUUGAGACAUAUCAAAGGAACUGCGGUGUUUGGUAUGACUGUUACCUACACAAGUCCAUCUCAAGUCUAUUUGGAAGGUUAUUGAGGACAAAGGAAUUUAAAACUCAUAUUGACUAUUUUGAUUCACGUACACACACAUACAAAAUACACAUACUGUACACUGAUAAACAUAAACACACAUUCAAUUGUUUUGUUUUUUUUGUUAGUUUUUUUUGCCGGGUAAUGUUUUGUGAAUUUGUACUGUUUUGUUAGCUCACUAAAGUUCUUUAAAGUGAAUCUAUUUGUUGUGUUGCUUUGUCUUACUUGAACUCCAACGAACCUAGCAGCGGUGUAUUUUCCCUUAGAUGGGUUACAUCUGCAUCUACAUAUAUCUGCACCUAAGGAUAUUACAUAAUUGGUGACAAGGUUAAAAGGCAUUCAGGUACCAGGCUGAAAAUAGUAGACUGUGCACAGACUAGUUAUGGCCGGUUCGUGAACGAAUCUUUCUUUUGAACC
Long non-coding RNA from Tachysurus fulvidraco (yellow catfish), 2844 nucleotides. RefSeq lists it as uncharacterized. The record is from RefSeq and is a predicted model, not a curated record. The transcript is spliced from 4 exons. NCBI's taxonomy places the organism in Eukaryota, Metazoa, Chordata, Actinopteri, Siluriformes, Bagridae.